CAGCCGCCGCGGUAAAACGGAGGGUGCAAGCGUUAAUCGGAAUUACUGGGCGUAAAGCGCACGCAGGCGGUUUGUUAAGUCAGAUGUGAAAUCCCCGAGCUUAACUUGGGAACUGCAUUUGUAACUGGCAAGCUAGAGUCUUGUAGAGGGGGGUAGAAUUCCAGGUGUAGCGGUGAAAUGCGUAGAGAUCUGGAGGAAUACCGGUGGCGAAGGCGGCCCCCUGGACAAAGACUGACGCCCAGGUGCGAAAGCGUGGGGAGCAAACAGGAUUAGAUACCCCAGUAGUCCCUGUCUCUUAUAC
RNAcentral lists this ribosomal RNA (301 nucleotides) under uncultured bacterium. Its description in RNAcentral is "partial 16S ribosomal RNA". It matches the Rfam family "Bacterial small subunit ribosomal RNA", at positions 509 to 807 of the family's 1533-position model. The record is from RNAcentral.